AAGUGUGACAGCACCAAAAUCACCAAAAAAAUCAGCAUCAGUCAUGAUGAUACUAUAAAAACUUUCAAUGUGAUCAUCACUGCUGCUCCUGUCCGAUCAAGUCAAAACUGAUGAAGAGCCCCGUAUGGAGAAGAGGGAGUUUGACUUGGAUUCAGGUCUGUCUUCAGCUGCU
Long non-coding RNA from Cyprinus carpio (common carp), 172 nucleotides. RefSeq lists it as uncharacterized. NCBI's taxonomy places the organism in Eukaryota, Metazoa, Chordata, Actinopteri, Cypriniformes, Cyprinidae. The record is from RefSeq and is a predicted model, not a curated record. The transcript has 3 exons.